CCCUUAGACGUUCUGGGCCGCACGCGCGCUACACUGACCAGUGCAACAAGCAUCCGUCCUUGGCCGACAGGCCCGGGCAAUCUUUGAACGCUGGUCGUGAUGGGGAUAGACUUUUGCAAUUUUUGGUCUUCAACGAGGAAUUCCUAGUAAACGCAAGUCAUCAACUUGCAUUGAUUACGUCCCUGCCCUUUGUACACACCGACCGUCGCACCUACCGAUUGAAUGGUCCGGUGAAGCCUCCGGAUUGGCGCGCACCUCGGUGCCGCCGAGAAGUUGGCUAAACCUUACCAUUUAGAGGAAGGUGAAGUCGUAACA
Molecule: ribosomal RNA, 315 nt
Filed under: uncultured eukaryote
Lineage: Eukaryota
Description: partial 18S ribosomal RNA
Rfam family: Eukaryotic small subunit ribosomal RNA
Source: RNAcentral